Molecule: ribosomal RNA, 468 nt
Filed under: uncultured bacterium
Lineage: Bacteria
Description: partial 16S ribosomal RNA
Rfam family: Bacterial small subunit ribosomal RNA
Source: RNAcentral
GAUGAACGCUGGCGGCGUGCCUAACACAUGCAAGUCGAGCGAUUCUCUUCGGAGAGGAGCGGCGGACGGGUGAGUAACGCGUGGGUAACCUGCCCUGUACACACGGAUAACAUACCGAAAGGUAUGCUAAUACGGGAUAACAUAAGAAAUUCGCAUGUGUUUCUUAUCAAAGCUCCGGCGGUACAGGAUGGACCCGCGUCUGAUUAGCUAGUUGGUGAGGUAACGGCUCACCAAGGCGACGAUCAGUAGCCGACCUGAGAGGGUGAUCGGCCACAUUGGAACUGAGACACGGUCCAAACUCCUACGGGAGGCAGCAGUGGGGAAUAUUGCACAAUGGGCGAAAGCCUGAUGCAGCAACGCCGCGUGAGCGAUGAAGGCCUUCGGGUCGUAAAGCUCUGUCCUCAAGGAAGAUAAUGACGGUACUUGAGGAGGAAGCCCCGGCUAACUACGUGCCAGCAGCCGCCGUAA